GGGUCUAUAGCUCAGUUGGUUAGAGCGCACGCCUGAUAAGCGUGAGGUCGAUGGUUCGAGUCCAUUUAGACCCACCA
Molecule: transfer RNA, 77 nt
Filed under: Clostridium botulinum
Lineage: Bacteria; Bacillati; Bacillota; Clostridia; Eubacteriales; Clostridiaceae
Also listed under: 3 other names
Description: tRNA-Ile
Rfam family: tRNA
About the family: Transfer RNA (tRNA) molecules are approximately 80 nucleotides in length. Their secondary structure includes four short double-helical elements and three loops (D, anti-codon, and T loops).
Source: RNAcentral